RNAcentral lists this ribosomal RNA (477 nucleotides) under uncultured bacterium. Its description in RNAcentral is "bacterial SSU rRNA". It matches the Rfam family "Bacterial small subunit ribosomal RNA", at positions 56 to 565 of the family's 1533-position model. The record is from RNAcentral.
UGCAAGUCGAACGAGAAAGUGGAGCAAUCCAUGAGUACAGUGGCGUACGGGUGAGUAACACGUGACUAACCUACCCUCGAGUGGGGAAUAACUUCGGGAAACCGAGGCUAAUACCGCAUAAUGUCUACGGACCAAAUGCGCAAGCAGCUCGAGGAGGGGGUCGCGGCUGAUUAGCUUGUUGGCGGGGUAACGGCCCACCAAGGCAAUGAUCAGUAGCCGGCCUGAGAGGGCGCACGGCCACACUGGAACUGAAACACGGUCCAGACUCCUACGGGAGGCAGCAGUGGGGAAUUUUGCGCAAUGGGGGAAACCCUGACGCAGCAACGCCGCGUGGAGGAUGAAGCCCCUUGGGGUGUAAACUCCUUUCGAUCGGGACGAUUAUGACGGUACCGGAUGAAGAAGCACCGGCUAACUCUGUGCCAGCAGCCGCGGUAAUACAGAGGGUGCAAGCGUUGUUCGGAAUUAUUGGGCGUAAAG